UUGCUGUGUUGCUAGGGGACUUGCCUUAGAACUUCCGAGCAAAGGGAAGCCACUGGGACUUUGUAGGGGAGCAGGGCAGCAUGGUGGGAUUUGGAAGACUCUCUGGUGGCCAUGUGGAAGACACAUAGGAAGGGACUAGGGAAUCUCCAGCUAGGAGGUUGUAGAAUGUUAGCCAGUUUCCCAUUCCUAUAACAAAUAUCAGAGAAAAGCCAGCUUAGAAAAAGAAACGGUUUAUGUGAGCUCACGGUCUUGGAGGCGUCAGUCCAUGCCUCCGGCAUCUUUAAGGAAGUUUCCAAGGAAAUAAGCAUAUUUUUGGACACCAAGCAAGGAGAGUGUCCCUGGCACGGAGAUGCAGAAAUCCCUGCUCAUCAAAGAUGACCGCACGGAGGUCAGGGGCGGAGCUCAGUUGGUAGAAUACCUGCCCAUCACACACAGCACUCUGGCUUUAAUCCCCACAGUGUACAUCUGUAAUCCCAGCGCUGGGAAUGUAGAGGAAGCAGGAUGCUUCAGGGUUAUCUCUGACUAUAAAGUGAGUUCAAAGUCAGCCUGACAUACAUGAAGGAGAGCUUGUCUCAAAAAACUGACAAAAUAAGAUAAAAAUAACAAGAUGACUAUAAGAUGAUUCUAGAAGGGCUAUGUUAGGUAGAGAGACUGGGUAACUUUAAAAGAUUUUUGAAACAUGGUUACCGUACUUCAGUAGAAGAAACCUGCAUUUGUGAUAAUAAUAAAAAGCAUUAUUGAACAA
This is a long non-coding RNA of Peromyscus eremicus (cactus mouse), 745 nucleotides long. RefSeq lists it as uncharacterized. The record is from RefSeq and is a predicted model, not a curated record. NCBI's taxonomy places the organism in Eukaryota, Metazoa, Chordata, Mammalia, Rodentia, Cricetidae. The transcript is spliced from 3 exons.